Molecule: ribosomal RNA, 506 nt
Filed under: uncultured bacterium
Lineage: Bacteria
Description: partial 16S ribosomal RNA
Rfam family: Bacterial small subunit ribosomal RNA
Source: RNAcentral
AGUGAACGCUGGCGGUAGGCCUAACACAUGCAAGUCGAACGGCAGCACAGGAGAGCUUGCUCUCUGGGUGGCGAGUGGCGGACGGGUGAGGAAUACAUCGGAAUCUACUCUGUCGUGGGGGAUAACGUAGGGAAACUUACGCUAAUACCGCAUACGACCUACGGGUGAAAGCAGGGGACCUUCGGCCCUUGCGCGAUUGAAUGAGCCGAUGUCGGAUUAGCUAGUUGGCGGGGUAAAGGCCCACCAAGGCGACGAUCCGUAGCUGGUCUGAGAGGAUGAUCAGCGACACUGGAACUGAGACACGGUCCAGACUCCUACGGGAGGCAGCAGUGGGGAACAUCGGACAAUGGGCGCAAGCCUGAUCCAGCCAUACCGCGUGGGUGAAGAAGGCCUUCGGGUUGUAAAGCCCUUUUGUUGGGAAGGAAAUCCAGCUGGCUAAUACCCGGUUGGGAUGGCGGUACCCAAAGAAUAAGCACCGGCUAACUUCGUGCCAGCCGCCGCCGUAA